UCAAAUGAGAGCGACAAAAUGGCGACGCCCAUUUCUUAAAGCGAAUUAACGUCGGGAUUAUAUAACUUGAUAUGACGCCACUCUUCGCUUUUGUUUUAAAUGGGUUAUACUCGGUUCUGGUUCAUUUACCUCCAACUCGGUCGCUGUCACACUUCACACAGAUGCUGUUGUGCCAGGUGGUCCCAGGUAGGAGGCUCUUGAACCCCACUAAUGACUCGCAAAGCUGGUGUGUGAAACAUUCGUGCUGUGCGGAGUUAAGGUUCGAGAAUGUUCCGUUUGGACACGGUUGGCACACAGUGUCAGCGACCAGCGUCCCUGGAGAGGAGAGUUGUUACUGUCGCCAGGCGUGACACUCAGUUUCCUGCUGGUGGAAGAAGGUACCUUGGUGGAGGACGCCCUCCCCGGGGGGGCAAGUGCUGUGGGACAAGCAGGUGUCCAUGUUCUCCAACUGGUAGUGUCCGGUUUGACACUGGCACUGACGGUUGCUGUCGGCUCGGCACUCGGCCGUCUGGUAUUGGGUCCAGUCGCAGGUUGUACAGGGCAGACACGACAUCUGGAUGUUCCAAAAAUCGACGUAGGAGCCUGCGGGACACGGAGAGCACCUGGUCGCCUGCGUCGUUGUGCAGCUGGAGACCAUGAAUGUUCCUGGAGGACAAAAGUCACAUUCCACUAGCGUGUUGGUGUUCCGGUCCAAAACACUGUACGUCCUGGUCGGUGCGGACGGUUCAGCCUGAACUGCACUGAGGCAGAUGACCAGGAGCAGCAGGACCGAGGGCGACAUCUGUGUGAGGCGGAAGGUGACGCUUGAAUACGGAGGGAGUGGCGGGGUCUAGGAUCAAUAAAGAAGCGACAUUUUGUUAUUCAAACUGGAGAAGAAGAAGAAUUGCACUGAUAGAAAAUACAGUCAUCGUCACAGUGAAUAAUACAUUCAUUUCCUAAACACAAUACUGUCACAGAUCAUGGCAUUAUAUAAACUCAUUUUUGUCUGAUGCCCUUUUUUAGAUUGAGCGACUAUUUCACUCCACUCCGACAUCCGACACCACUGGAACCCGCCACCAAACUCCAAAUCAGACGGAGGCAGGCUCCGCGUUCAGGGUCGAGAUGUCGAGGGUCAGAAACAGCCUGGAGGGAGAUGGGUCUGGAGGUCGGCCAUGUUUGUUUACAUCCCGUAUAGUGUUCGAGUGACGUUGCACUGGGUCGAGAUGUCGAGGGUCAGAAACAGCCUGGAGGGAGAUGGGUCUGGAGGUCGGCCAUGUUUGUUUACAUCCCGUAUAGUGUUCGAGUGACGUUGCACUGGUGAGUUCCGCUUUUAUCGUCCCACUAUUUUAGAUUUCCAUCGUGGCAAUUUGGACAUUCAGGAAUGGAUUCAGAAUAGUUCACGUCCGAAUCGUGACCCUUGGCAACUGUAUUUGUUUCGUUUGUUUGGUGUCGAAUUGGCAGGAAAGUUGCAAUGGCAAAAGUGCAGUGCCUUGCAGAACUCACGCCUCAUAUGUCUGCUGUCUUUUUUAGACUGGCCCACAGAGCAAACUAACCAUUUGUGCUGGGCAGACACUGCAGGUCAAAGACGGUUUGGUGCUCACUCAGAGUUCCUGCGCAGAUAAAUGAUGGGGACAAUGGACGUUGUAAUUAUAUUAUAUGAAAUAUUUUAUUUAUUGCUAACAUGCCUUGACUGUGUGUGUGUUGUCUUGGUGAUAAAGUAUUUGGAAGUUACUUAGAAACGCCUGAAACCACGGGUGUCGAACGAGCCCUCAAAGGUCCACAGCAGCCCUUUGGUGGUUCAGUUUGACGCCCUUGAUCGAAACAAAUUGGUAACACUAGGGGUGCACCAGUAAUCUUUUUUUUUCCUUUUGGUCGAAACAGAUUUUUACAGAUUUUUUCCCCUGAGCAACUAAAGUAAACACACCACUUUCUUUAUUGUGAUUGAAUUGAAAACAUUACAACUUUAAACACUAAUUGAAUUGGUUCCAUGGUGUAAUGCUCAGCACUCUGGACUCUCAAUCCAGCGAUCCGAGAUCAAGUCUCGGUGGAACUUCCCCUUUUGAUAGUUGCUGAUGUUCUCACUGCAAAAUCCAGACGCACAAGGGAACGAAAAGUUCUGCUUUUCUUUUCAUUGUUACAGUCAGGGACUAUGUUGGUUUGGUCCUCACUCAGAGUUAUGGCUCGGCAAUAACCCGAAAAUGUUGCCAUUAACAAAAUGUACCACAAUGACCGACGUCAAUUUGUCCAUGUUGGUAAAUUCAGUAUAAUUCAUAAUAAAAGCAAAAUCAAAGUUGUUUUCAUCUGUUCUGACCGUGUGCUCUUGUGGGCAGAUGUGCAUUUCCCUUUAAGACGGAGUAAAGCGUGUGUGGUCACAUGACUCCACCCAUCCAGCCAGUGUUAGGGGUGAACAUUCAAGGUAUUAACGUCCUAAAAUCAAUGAUAACCAUUCACCCUGCGAGGAGCGUGAUCAACAUCACUUGCCCUCUCCCUAAAACACAGGCCAACCACAAACCCAGUUUCAUGCCUUUUGUUGAUGUCUCUGGAAGGCUUCACAGAUACAUCCAGUGACAUGAUCAACAGAGCAACCAGUCAAAAACACCUUCUAUAUAUGCAGCAAAGGUUUAUUGUCCAACCCAAAUGAGACAAUAACUUGAGGGAACGUAUCCCACAAACUUUCUGACUGCUGUCAUGCUAAUUGCUGAAUGGUAGCUGAGGCGGAGCUGCUCAGCAUCCUUCCUGAAGGCUGUCCUGGGGUGCAGUGCUCCGGGGACAUUGGUUGGAUGUUGGUUUGUCUGGUGUUGCUGCAAUCACUGAAACAGUUUAUCCCCAGACCUUUACUGCAAGACGCUGUCCAUGCACAGUGCAAUUUAACUCCAAAUGUUUACUGUCAGGUAGUUAUGGCACAUAAACAGCUUCUUUCUCUUUGGGCUUCUCCCUUCAGGAGAUACAGCGGAUCGUCUUCCUCCAUCUCACCCCGUCCUCUGCUUCCUCGUCUCGCAAACCUAAACCUAAACAUUCUCUCUAUAUAUAAAGAAUACAUGAAAUAAAGCAAUUUUAUAUUGGGAUAAUGUAUUAACUGAAAGCAAGGUUGAACCACGAAGAUGUGGAGUACCUCGACAGAGCACUGUUUCACUUCAUUUGCAAACUGUGCUUUCCAUUCAUCGUGCAUUUAAUUUGCGGUCAUGUCGCCCAGCCCGACUCAGAGUUCCUGAGCAGAUAAAUGAUGGUUGUUCACAUCUGAGACAGAGCUGCAAGAGACAGAGAGGUCGAAGCAUAGAGAGGUGAACAGCACACGAUUCAAACACGGCAGUGAAGGUGAGGUUCCACUGAGACUUGAACUCAGAUCACUGGAUUCAGAGUCCAGACCAUUACACCAUGGAACCUUUCAGUGAACAUCAGAUUCUCAGGUUGAUUUCUCCACUUCCUGAAGCAAGAGGAAAGCUCAUCUGACCAUCAUGUUAAAAGCAACACUUGGAUUUGAACCCUGAUGAUGAAAAAGGCAAGCGUCCAAGUGUUUCUCUGUUUCUUUCACUUCUCCAUGCCUGGUCAUGUCUGUCUCACAUGUAAACAAAGGGGGAACAUCCAAAGACCCUGAGAGCAGGGGAUGGUUUCCAUCCACUGACCUCUGGGUUAUGAGGCCAGCACGCUUUUAUGAACAAUAAACAGCAUUUCUGUCAUCUGUUUUCAUCUGCGAUGUGAAUCACUCGAGAAUGUCAGUCAUGAAAACUUCCUGCAACAUUUUUUCACUGCACGUAACCAGUUGCAGUUGGGUGAUUCAGAACAAUGCUUGUCAUUUUCAGUCAUAAGGUCAGAUCAGAAAAAAAAGGGGGGGCUCAGGAGAGUGGAUUCAGUUUUGAUCCUGAAGUCAUGCGUCCGUCUAGAGCAUGUGUCACACAAGUCAUUCACCGUGUCCCACUCUCAUCCAGCUCCAAAUGAAAACCAUUGGCCUUCUGCAGUGCACCAAAAACUGGAUCGACUGAAUUGUCAAUUUUGUGAAGAGGUGAUGAAUGUCAGGUGCAGGGUGGGGCUGCAAAGCCGCUCUCUGGAGGUCAUUCAAGGGCAAACAUGAUCGCCUUUUAGUUCAUGCAUUUUAUGUGAUACACAUUUAGAGUUUCAUGUUUCUAGAUGCUUAAGGUGCUUAAGGUGGUAACUGUGAGGGUGGAGAUGCUAAUGGUGCUUCUCUCUGCUCCUUUUCCUUCAAAUCAAGUCGAGAUGAAAGGCUUGUUGUUGCAUCUUUGAAGUUGGAUUCAAAUAAACGUAUGAAGCAAUGAGUUUGUUCCAUUCUGGCUCCAAGCAUUGUUGCCCACCAUGAUAUUCAUGCGUUGUUUUUUCUAGGAACCUUGCGUUGCCAGGUUUGUUUACGUCUGAGACAGAUGCAGUGAGAGAGCCACAACAUGGAGAAAUGACAGCGCUGCAAAGAAACACUUUGACGUCGACAUGAGCCAGUUCUCUGUUAUGAGCCAAGUGGAAGCAGAGUGGAGCAGCAGAAGCACGCUGAGGCCAUGAGGUCAUGAGGUGUAGAAGUCAACCCCAUGGUUCCAUGGUGUAAUGGCCAGGACUCUGAAUCCGGUGAUCCAAGUUCAAGUCUCUGUGGAACCUGACUGAUGCUGUGUCCUCACUGAAGAGCAUUCACGUGGCAGGGUUAAUGAUGGUUCAGUGCCAUGGCUUUAAUGAAAGCUGCCACACCUUCAGAAAAUUGAAUCUCUUCUUAAAGAUGUGGUCAAACGUAUUCAAACAAUGUGGAAACACCUAAACCGCAGUUGUCAAACCGGUAUUCAAAGAGCUGCAGCGGGUGCAGGCUUUGGUUCCAACCAGUCAAGAGGACACCUUCUCACCAAUCCGGUGUCUUUAGAAUAAAUCAUUCUUCGUUCUCGUUCUCUCUUUCUCCAUGUGGCGCUGUGCCUUAGCUGGUCAAAGCGCCUGUCUAGUAAACAGGAGGUCCUGGGUUCAAAUCCCAGCAGUGCCUGAUAUGUCCACUGUCUUUUUCAGACUGGUUCACAGAGCAAACUAACAUUUGUGCCAAGUUGACACUGCAGUUCAAAGAUGGUUCGGUCCUCACUCAGAGGUCCUGAGCAGAUAAAUGAUGGGGACAAUGUAGUUUUAUUAUGAGGGAGCAACAUCCAUUGCAUUGCAUUGUUCACCACCAUAUUCAUGCGUUUUACGAAGAACAUCCAAGGACCACUCUGGAGUCUAAACCUUUGGUUCCAUGGUGUAAUGGUCAGCACUCUGGACUCUGAAUCCAGUGAUCCGAGUUCAAGUCUCGGUGGAACCUCUGUUAUCGUGUCCUGAGAGUUGCCUUUGGUCACACUGACAUGUUGCUGAAGCGCUUCCUGCGACUGACUCCAAAUACUGUUCCAGACAGGCACAACCUUUCACAGGAGCCACCUUCCUCUAUUUUAUUUAAUUCCCAUUUCACUUGGAGAUCUCCAAGACCCCGAGACUCUUUAGCUAUACGGUGCUGUGGCUGAGCUGGUCAAAGUGCCUGUCUAAUAAACAGGACAUCCUGGGUUCAAGGUAACUAGUAACUGUAACUCAGUUACUAAUUGGUUGCAACUGAGUUGGCUGUAACUGUUGUGUGAUCAGCUGUGGUCUAAGCCAAGGCAGCGAAUUGUGGACCACACCUUCCUGAGCACAGCACACUUCCACUGCGCCACUCUGCUCCACCAUGAGCUUUAAAGCCAGUGAAAGUCGACAGAAUUUACAUGAACGCUCACACCAGUGCACACACAGCAUCUUUUCAUGAGGCCAACUGUUGACAUUGGCUCUUCAAAGUGGUGUCCAUUGAGACCUGGACUUGGAGGUCCAGGUCCAGUUUCAUCUGAAGUGGGAGCUCAGAAUGAAGUCAUGACAGGGAAGCCAUGUUGGAUUGCACACUCGUGUAGUAGUGAGGAUUCUCUGACCUGGAAAUCACAAAAAUACUCCAGUGAAGUCCUGUGGACGCUGGUUGAUAUCUAACAAUUCCACACUGUUUAUUGAAAUGUAGCAGGCCAUGCUAAUAACCAUUAUGCUAGUGAUGCGGUUUUGUGCCAGAAAGGGAAGUUUUAUUGUCAGAAUUUGACAUGAAACAGGUUUGUACUGAAACCGUUGAUAUGUUAAAUCCCACAUCCAGAAGAAUAACAGGUCAAGCAGAAGUAUAUCAAUGUCAACGAGCACAGGAGAUGCUAAACCUCCUUUCUGAGGAGCCGUUAGCAUGAAGACAGGUGGAUGGAUGAUGGACGUGUCUUCCACGUCGGCACAGACAUAACCGCGGCGGCCAUCAAUCUUUGACCUCAUCCACAAACACUGGUGAGAUUUUGUCUAAUCUGCUUCAGCAGCGUCUGAAGUUUCUCCCCCGCGGUUCUCGCUCCCGAAUUCUGCACGAUCAGCGGCAGCUGCUCCAGCUGUGUUGUUGUGGCAGUGAACAGCCAGGUGUUGAUCUCCUCUUCCAGCUCUGAGCUUGACAGAUGAAACGUGGCUUUUAGCGUUUUGCCGCUAAUUUUAUAGAGGAUGUUGGCCAGCUCAUCACGAGAGAGAGCGUGGUAGGCGAAGAACGCUGGCAGGAUUUCUGCAAAAUACUCCUCUGCUUCUGCGGAACCACACCGGAGCAGACCAUCAGAGAUGCAGCGAUUCAUGUCAGUGACAAUCAUAACCAUGUCCACCACUGUGAUACAUGCUGUUGUUCUCCUCAUCGAGAUCAGCUGGGCGCAUCACGGACAUCACGUGACGCCCACUCCUUGGUCAGUAACACGUCAGAACAUGAGAAAUUCUUCAUCUUUACAUAUACACGUCACACCUGAGUAUCAAUGGCAGGCAGGCUUUUAGCUGGGAGUGUGAGUCAGGGUGUCACAGUGUUGUUUUUGGGGCCAGGACAUUUUGAAAUUUGAACCCACUGAAACUCUACUCUAUUUCCUGCAUUUUGAGAGGUACAUUUUGUGGAAUUAAGGCAACAUCUGGUCUCUAUCACUUUGUUAAUCUUAUUGUUCAUUUCUCUUUUUUGUGAGUCUGGAUAAAAAUAUCACCAGUAGAACAUGAGUUGCUAUAGGCGUGAGUGCUAAUCCCAGGAUGGUAGGGGAAGGUGCCGUAUUUCUUGCUUCUGAUUGGCUGGAGUCUCUCUCCUCCCAAACUUUAACUUUCUCCUAUAUUUCUAAUUUGAGUUAUUUUGCUGAAUAACUGCCAACUUAUCUUCAAACAUUUGCCUCUGCUCAGCUACUUACCUCAGUUGUCCAGCUCCAGGUGAAGGCUCAGCCUUUUACCUCAGAUGUUUUCUCAACGUGAGAGGGCGAGGAAGCCACAACCUUCCUCUACUAUCCUGGGAUUUGCCAAUUCACUCUGCGUAGGCAUGAGAAUCUGCAAAUUACUGCCAAAACACCCUUUUCAUGUGAACCAGUAUGUUCACGCUGCAGUUAGGGCACUUUUUCAAGGGCUUUUCAAGAGAAACGGCACUUACAGUCCAGUUCAUAGCAUCACAGAUCAUUGCACUGUAUCAAGUAAUUUUUGUCUGAUUCCACUUGUGAGUUCGAAAUUUAUAUAAUAAUCAUGAUGAUCCAGGAUCUAGUUUCAAGAAAAGUCACCACUGUAAACAAACGUACCACAUGUGACGUGAUGGUCCAUGGGUCAAAUGAGAGCGACAAAAUGGCGACGCCCAUUUCUUACAGCGAAUUAACGUCGGGAUUAUAUAACUUGAUAUGACGCCACUCUUCGCUUUUGUUUUAAAUGGGUUAUACUCGGUUCUGGUUCAUUUACCUGCGACUAUGAUGCUGUCACA
This is a long non-coding RNA of Synchiropus splendidus (mandarinfish), 7723 nucleotides long. RefSeq lists it as uncharacterized. NCBI's taxonomy places the organism in Eukaryota, Metazoa, Chordata, Actinopteri, Syngnathiformes, Callionymidae. The record is from RefSeq and is a predicted model, not a curated record. The transcript is spliced from 3 exons.